This 424-nucleotide ribosomal RNA is filed under the name uncultured bacterium. Its description in RNAcentral is "bacterial SSU rRNA". It matches the Rfam family "Bacterial small subunit ribosomal RNA", at positions 358 to 774 of the family's 1533-position model. The record is from RNAcentral.
GGAAUCUUCCACAAUGGACGCAAGUCUGAUGGAGAAACGCCGCGUGAGUGAAGAAGGGUUUAGGCUCGUAAAGCUCUGUUGUUAAAGAAGAACGUGGGUAAGAGUAACUGUUUACCCAGUGACGGUAUUUAACCAGAAAGCCACGGCUAACUACGCGCCAGCAGCCGCGGUAAUACGGAGGGUGCAAGCGUUAAUCGGAAUUACUGGGCGUAAAGCGCACGCAGGCGGUCUGUCAAGUCGGAUGUGAAAUCCCCGGGCUCAACCUGGGAACUGCAUUCGAAACUGGCAGGCUAGAGUCUUGUAGAGGGGGGUAGAAUUCCAGGUGUAGCGGUGAAAUGCGUAGAGAUCUGGAGGAAUACCGGUGGCGAAGGCGGCCCCCUGGACAAAGACUGACGCUCAGGUGCGAAAGCGUGGGGAGCAAACA